GCAUAUUUUUUUCUCAUUUUCAAUCAAGUUAUUUCACUGCUUAACAGCACAGUCCAAUUGGCAAAAGAUGUAAAACAUAGAAGCGUCCAUGAAAAUUUACUAUUUUCUGCAUAUAUGUAAACUUACAAAUAUUGAUUGAUGAAGCAAUAUAUAUAUAUACAAAAUGAUCAAAGUUGCAUAACCUAUUUACAGUAUUAUUGGAAAGGCAAUAUAAUGGACGGAAUUGAUGAUUCACAGGAUAGCAAAAAAUUAUGAAUACUCUCAUAUUAUCAGAUUCGCCUGAUGUCCUCUUUGGGGACAGUAAUAUGGGCGGAAUGAAUGGAAUACAUGUAUGAUGGUAUUGAUAAUUUCUGAGGUUUUAAUUAACUUUUUGUGUAGACCUUGGUGAUUGUAAAUGAUUUCAAAUUUGCGGAAUAAAUCCAAUUCAAUUUCAAUUCAAUCAAACUUGGGAAUAAUACUCUUAUACAUGUAUCUGACUUUUAACAAAAUGAUGUACACAUUUUUCCUACAUAAAUACUUUCCAUAUAUAUUUUUGAAGCACAUCUAAUAUAAAUUGUAUGUGACAGCAUAACACGAUGUACAUAAAAUGUAUAGCACAAGACUUUCUUAUAUUCAAACUUGAUAAUUGCAAAUUCUAGUUCCCAUUUCAUAGGCCUAUUCUAAACAUUAUACAUGUAUACAUCAUCAUUUUUUAUCCAAAUUCAUUCCGUUCUGCUAUCAAUAAACAUAUAUCAAUUCUAAACUCAUCACUGAAUGAUGUACUGUAUGAAGAUUGAUAAUAAAUUUAAAAUAAAUUUGUGAAACAUAUAUAUGUACUGAAAUAUCAUUUGCAUAUCAAAACAGUUGUGUUGCAUAGUUAACAUUUAGCUGCUCAUUACAUUAUCAUUAUUCACAAAUCCAAAAUAGCACAAACUGCAAAUAAAACAUGCACAUGCAUUAUCUACCUAAUACGGUAACAAUAUAAACCAGUAAUAAAAAUAUAGCAUGUAGUUUUACUUUAAAAAAAAAACAAAUAUUACACUGUUAAUUUUUUAUUAAUUAAAAUGAUAAAUCUUAGCACAAUUAGUAUUAUUAUUGUUAAAUUUGUUAAUAUGAAGUUUAUGCCUUAACAGCAAGUUACAUCUCAAAUUCUGAUAUAUCUUUGCAGUGUUAAUAAAAAUAUAUGCAUAUAAUUAUGGUGUAUGUAAAUGAAACAAAGGAGAACCUACAUGUACAUCGAACAUAUAUAUAGCUCUUCAAUAUUUAUUAUCAUUUAUCAAUACUCAUGUGAACGAGUACAUUAUUUAAUAAACUAAUACACUGGUAACACAGUAGGCCUAAUCUAAAUACAUUCAGAUGUAUGUGGAAUAAUUUUUCAGUUAUUACUGUAAUAAGACUUUUCUUGUUAUCCAGCAAAAAUGAGAAGUGAUCUGUCAUUUCACCUCUGAACAUACUUUUUUUUAAAUCAGCUUGAAUUUGUAGUGCAUGUGGCAACUUACACAAAGAAGAAUUUAAAUUUCUUGCCAGUUUAGAUGGUCCAUACCACAAUUUUCUAUUCAUCACACAUAAAAAACAAAAACAAAAUAAAAACAAUACUCAGUUGAAAACUGCCUCAACAGUCCUGCUACUAUGUAAAUUCAUAAUGCAUAUGUAUAUGCAUAUUUGUAUGCUCUGACUAUCACGUAAAAUGUACAGCACACUUUGAUUUGAAACAAAGCACAGCCCACUUAAUUGCACAAUUAUCAACUCGUUCACUGAAAUGAUCUUUUUAAUUGCAUAAAACCAGAUAUUUUUUAAGUAUUCUGUGCACAAAAAUGUAUGAAACAAACAUGUACAAAAUCACCAUUACCGGUAUAUGAAUUGUGAUAUUGGAUGUGCU
This 1858-nucleotide long non-coding RNA is filed under the name Lytechinus variegatus (green sea urchin). RNAcentral's name for it is "uncharacterized LOC121430661". The record is from RNAcentral. Lineage: Eukaryota; Metazoa; Echinodermata; Echinoidea; Temnopleuroida; Toxopneustidae.